Molecule: small RNA, 17 nt
Filed under: Arabidopsis thaliana (thale cress)
Lineage: Eukaryota; Viridiplantae; Streptophyta; Magnoliopsida; Brassicales; Brassicaceae
Description: ATSL121280
Source: RNAcentral
CUUUUUCUUCUUCUUUU